RNAcentral lists this ribosomal RNA (483 nucleotides) under uncultured bacterium. RNAcentral's name for it is "bacterial SSU rRNA". It matches the Rfam family "Bacterial small subunit ribosomal RNA", at positions 30 to 525 of the family's 1533-position model. The record is from RNAcentral.
AGUGAACGCUGGCGGCAGGCCUAAUACAUGCAAGUCGAACGGCAGCACAGUGGAGCUUGCUCCAUGGGUGGCGAGUGGCGGACGGGUGAGGAAUACAUGGGAAUCUGCCCAGUCGUGGGGGAUAACGUAUGGAAACGUACGCUAAUACCGCAUGCGCCCUUCGGGGGAAAGUCGGGGACCGCAAGGCCUGACGCGAUUGGAUGAGCCCAUGUUCGAUUAGCUAGUUGGCGGGGUAACGGCCCACCAAGGCGACGAUCGAUAGCUGGUCUGAGAGGAUGAUCAGCCACACUGGAACUGAGACACGGUCCAGACUCCUACGGGAGGCAGCAGUAGGGAAUAUUGGACAAUGGGCGCAAGCCUGAUCCAGCCAUGCCGCGUGAGUGAAGAAGGCCCUCGGGUUGUAAACCUCUGUCUGGGGGACGAGUAAGGACGGUACCCCCGGAGGAAGCCCCGGCUAACUACGUGCCAGCAGCCGCGGUAAUG